GGGCCGGUAUCUGAAUCCCUUGUCUAUUAACCUGAUAACGCCCUCACCACAGCUUGUCUUUCAGUUUUUCUGAAUAACCAACCACCUAGGAGGAAGCACAAAGCACUUGCUCAGCCGCCAUGGUGGUCUUUGGCUGUUCCGCCAUCCCCAAAGGAUCUUGGUGGAUGUACAGCUGCAGAAAGUGGAUGAUUAAGACUACCGUGCUGAAGAAAAAUGCCCCACUGAGUCACAAAGCUAAGGAUGACUCCCUGUUUCCCAAAGACUGGAAAAGAUUAUUUACCUGAUCC
This 287-nucleotide long non-coding RNA is filed under the name Felis catus (domestic cat). Its description in RNAcentral is "lncRNA (ENSFCAG00000049646.1)". Lineage: Eukaryota; Metazoa; Chordata; Mammalia; Carnivora; Felidae. The record is from RNAcentral.